Molecule: long non-coding RNA, 781 nt
Organism: Apis laboriosa (Himalayan honeybee)
Lineage: Eukaryota; Metazoa; Arthropoda; Insecta; Hymenoptera; Apidae
Exons: 4
Source: RefSeq, a predicted model, not a curated record
CGUCGGAUUUUUCCCCUCCCAACGUCGAGGCAACCCCUCUUCGAUUCCCCUCUUCGUUUCAACCCCGCAAUGGUGACGCCCAACGUCGAUCCGGUUGUCCGCCACGCAAACUCGCGGGAUCCACGACCCAUGGCGCUUGUGCGUGACCCGUUUUAUCGUCGGAAAAUGCGCCGUGCCUACUUCGUGUCGAGAUUCAGAAUGUCGUUCGUGAUAUUAGUGACCAAGAAUAAUAAUCGAAGUGACUUGUACUUGAAAUAGACUCUUCUUGCAUUCUUCCUUCGUUCUUCUUUCGAAUUGUAAGUGUGUAAAAAAGAAUAAGGGGGGGAAGAGAAGAAAAGGGGACGAUGUGAUACGAUGUUUGAGGGGGGAAGGGAAGAAGGUGUCCUUCCUAUACACCGAUGCUGAGAACGUUAAAAUGGAUCCCUUCGGAUGGACGAGGAAGUGGAUGAGUUUUUGAUGGAUCGAUUGGAGAGGAAAACGUGCCAAACGUGCAAUCUUCCUUGCGACGAAUGCAAUGUCUCUCUCCUUCGAACUCGAAAGGGAACUUUUUCGAGGAGGAAGGGAAAAAAUUUAUUCGGAUAUCCUUUGGAGAACGCUCUCUCUCUCGAAGAAACUGCUCGCCUUCUUCGCCCACCAGAUUCCGCCACCAGUUACGCGCCAUUCGCCGCCCACGCGUGACUCCGAUCCGCGUAUUCUCCUCCUAGUACAUUCUAGUUUCGGUUGGAUUACACCAUGUGUCCAUAGUUGGUGUUGGGCAAGUUACGUUGGGCGAGGAAAAUUU